GCUGAAGACACACGUCGCUCUUCCUUCCAGGACCAGACAGAGGGAAGCUUUGUGAGCUGUGCCUGGGAGAAGCAAAUCCCCCACUCCCGCGGGCACCUCCAAGGAGCCGGGAAUGUGAACAGGGCUGAGGCUGGAGAGAGGAGCCCCUGGGCCGCAGCCCCAAUGCUCCCGCGCUCCCGGGAGCCUGACACUGCCGGGUCAAUCAGGCACGGUGAUGAUACCAAUGAUGAUGAUCAAACAGCGACACUCGCUCCUUAUCAAGCAUCCUGUCCAAGGGCUUUACUGGCAGCAACGGUGAGAAGGAAGAACACUUGUACCCAUGUUACAGAUGCGGAAACCAAGGCGUGGAGACAGCUGAGCUCAUCCUCCCGAGGUCACGGUGGCAGCGCUGGUGCUUCAGCCUUGAGAUGCCUGAUUCGCCCCAGUGCUGAACGCCCUCCCUGUGCCCAGGACGGCGCUGACCAUCAUGACUGUGUCCAGGAGCAAAGGGUGGAGCUGGGGCGACGGGGCCAGGCCGGAAGCUGAGGGAGCGUCAUGCUGUGUCUCUGGCCUACAGCCCUGGGAGUUGGCCCGAAAGAAUCCCUCCCUGGUCUGCAGCGUCUGGCUUCUCGUGUUUAGUUGAUUCUGCCCAGGAGGGAGCACAGGCGAUGCCGGCAGAGCCAAGGACGUGAGCGAUUCCAUCCUGAAGACGAUGUACAGCCGGGGGGAGAAGCACGGCAUUCCCCUCGUGUUCCCGUCACCAGCUCUUGGGUACCACCCCGAAUCCCCGCCCUUCAGGGGGUCCUGGCUUGAUCCUUCCUCUGACACUCAGUCCUUGACCCCAAGUGUGUGCGCCGAGUCACGGCCCCCAAACCUGGAACACCAGGUCCCCUGCCGGGCCUCCCAGGGAACACUGGAAAAUCCACAGGGCUGAAGUCCAGCGCCAACAUUCCAGAGCCUGGCGCCCCGGCAGGCCAACUUGGAUGGGAGAAACAGGCACAGGCCCUGGUUGAGAGAAGCACGCGGAGAUCUCCCAGCCAAGUCAGCAGCUGGUCCUGGCGGGCCAGGGAGGGACCAUCUGGAGAGGGGAGGGCGCCAAGGCUGCGCGUAUCUUCCGGCUACACGUUGGAUCUGAGCUGCUGGAUGUAAUAGCUAUCUGUGACUGCAGUUAUUAGUCCAAGAUUAAGGCAAUGGCAGGGUGGUAGCGCCUUCCUGGAACCGCUGGAAUGAACUAUUUGCUAUUGAGAUGUUCAGCGCUCAGCCACCCCGCGGUACUAACCACGUCGCUGGGAUGUGUCAGCACCCCAUUAGAAGUAUUAGCUACUGAGAUGCUGGCUUCCCGCUCUGAUUAGUAUUUGCUAUUCGUGCUGGAGCAACACAGUCUUUUUGUUUGUUUCUCAACUUCAAUUACCUAAUCACAGAUCCACGGAAUACGGAGAACAAGCCUCCAGCCUGAGCUGACUCUGGCAUCUCUGAUUAACUCAGAAACCUAGCAACGGAGGGAGCUGGCCGUGCCGGGAGCUCCUGGGGGUAAGGGGAGCUCCUGGGGGUAAGGGGAGCUCCUGGGGGUAAGGGGAGCCGGAAAAGCAGGAGCAGGUGUCACCUCGACUGUGAAACAGGAGCUCGGCGGACAGCCCCCUGCAGCGACUUAUCAACCGCUCAUCUCCUGAUGGCUUUGGAAGUUCUUGUGAUUCGAUUUCAGGCUUGAGAGGAGAGACUGAGACAUUAUAGGAACUGCAGUGACAGCCAUGAUAGCGGCGACGGGCCUCAAAGAGGCAGCUGGGGCUCUGGGGGACAGCCAGCCUCCUUGUGGGGCACUCGUCAGUGGGGUCGUGUGGAGGACAUGGGUGUUUAGCAGAUGGGAGCCCAAAUCUUUGUUCUCCAGCUUCUUUUUUUUUUUUUUGCGGUACGCGGGCCUGUCACUGUUGUGGCCUCUCCCGUUGCGGAGCACAGGCUCCGGACGCGCAGGCUCAGCGGCCAUGGCUCACGGGCCCAGCCGCUCCGCGGCAUGUGGGAUCUUCCUGGACCGGGGCACGAACCCGUGUCCCCUGCAUCGGCAGGUGGACUCCCAACCACUGCGCCACCAGGGAAGCCCUGUUCUCUGGCUUCUUGGAUGACCCUUACAUGAGUCGGUCCUCACCUGGUGAUUAUAGCUGUUCUCCGGGGCCUCCUGGGUUUCCCUUAACUAAGGAUGCAAGUCCCAUUUCCCACUCGUCACAGGGCCGCCUCUAGCUUCACCUGGGGGAGCGCAAGCCCCUUCUCACGACAUCAGUGCCCCAAGUGGAGGCGCUCUGUUCCCGAGGGCAAGGGGGCUCGGCCCGGGCGGGACGUACCUGAAGGUCUGGCUUCUAUGACGUAGCGGGUGAUGGGGCCUUUGCCGGGGUCUCCGCUGGACCAGUGGAUGGCAAUGGCCGAGCUGUACCGCACGAUGAUGGGCACUCCGGGCGGCCCGGGGGCACCUGUGAACGGCACACAGUGGGUGAGAGGAUGCAUGGGAGCCAGAACAGGCGCCCAGGCUGUCUUCCUGAGCUCCAGCAGGAGGUGCUGGACGUCAAAACCAACCUCGGCCAGGGGCUCCAGGAACCUGCGCGUGCCGAGGCCCAAGGAGUGCCUCUUGGCCAGGCCUACUGGGUCUGACUUAUUCUCUGCCAGGCCACCCAGAGCCCCUGCACUCCAGGAGACGUAUAUGUGACGAUGCCAGAAAGGUUCCCAGCUGCAUUUGCUUUAAGGCUAGGCCAGAGAGGAGGCCAGGGCUGCAGGAGGAUCUGGAAGCUUUGCGUCCAACAGGAAGAAGAACCCGGCCCCGCUGCUGGCUCUGUUAAGUCGGCCACGCGGGCUACUGGCCCCAGGGGCCAGAGCAGGAGACAGACGUUCGCCUCCGUAGUGAGAGGAGUGAGCCCGUGCUAUCUGCUAAGAGUCCUGUACCCCUUCUUCCCUGGGGUGCCCUGCAGCACCGGCUCCCACUACCCCCAGGGCCCCUGUCUGCUGUUCCCCACGACAUCUGGAGCCCUGUGCCCCCAGGGCCUGGCACACAGUAGGUGCUUCCUAGGUGCUUAUGGGACAAGGGAGUGAGCCAGGGAGUGAGGGGGUGGGUGACUGGCUGGCCCGGUGGCCCCUGUGGACGUCUGCGGGGAAAGGAGCUGAGAGCCCAGCUUCAGACUGAAGAUCCUCGGGGCCUGUGAAGGCUUGCAGCCGGACAGCAGGCCAGAGACUCACUACCAGAGCGUGGCGGCCCAUUGCCCAGCCCGCGUCCAGCACCACCCAUGACCUCAAAGGGCCUCACUGCCUUCCUUCCUGUCCCCCUUCCUCCCCUAACGAGCAUCCUGCCCACAGCACAGGGCAAAGGCGGCUGAGGGAUGGAGGGCGUGGGACACAGCCCGAGGGAGAUGUGAAGGGCGGGGCAGGGGCCCUUGGGACCCUGAGUUCUCAUUCCGCACAGGACAGCCCUCGGGGCUGAGAGGAGCUGUCAUCUCCUCCUGGACUAGAAGCUUCCAGCAUUUGCAGCAUUGCCCAGCCUGGAGGGAGAAGGACACCCAGCUGCAAUCUGCCCUUGCUGACCCCUCCUCUGCCGGGUGGGAGCAGCUCAGUGCUUUCUCAGAGGCCCCUCCCCCCAGCUCUGUACCGCCCCCCUCUGGAUCCCACCCCCACCCCCGCCGGGUCACUUCAAGCCUCCGGUUAGAACCCCCUGUCCUCCAGGCAGCCCUCUCCUGUCCCCAAGCCACCGCUCUGUCCUUCUUGUUCCUGCCGGCUAGCUUCCUGCUUUUGUCUCCCAAGGAAGCCAAGCUGGCUCAGGGUGGCUGCACAGAGAUGCUGAACUUCCUGGGACCCAGAAAUCUGGACUUAUCACAGGAACCCCGGGGGAUCUGACAUCAGUGGCACCUUGAGAAACACUCCACAGCCGGCCAGCCUUCCCUCACACCUGGACACCCACCCCUUCCCAUCCUGCUCCACCACAGCAGAAUUCUGCAGAUGCAGAAUUCAAGCCCCAAGGAUCAUCUCCCGGCGAGUGCUUCUGUAAAGACACCACCGUCCAGAGCUGGAGGGGACACCGGUGCAGCUGCCCCUAGAGCCCAGGACAACCUCCUUCCUCCUGUACCAGCAAGAGCCAGGAGCCCACGCCCGGCCCUCCACCAGCUGAGCCCGCCAGGCUCUUCAGGGCAACAGUGAGGGCGCUACAGCACUCCAAAUCUCGGCAACUAGACGGGAGGCUGGAUGGCUUCCAGGAGGACCCUGAGUGCAGUGUAGGUAGACUGCUGGCGUGAAGUCUACCUCAAACCCAGCCGAGAGUCGACUUUGAGGACCAGCCCAUCGGCAUCACCUAGGAGCUGCUUAGGGAUGCAGUGUCAGCCCACCCUGGACCUGUGGCAUCAGCAUCUGCAGGUUGACAAGGCCCCCAGGGGCACACACGACAGCUGGAACAGCGCACUGUAGAGGCAGGCAGGCCUGGGCUGACCCCAGCGCACCACUGACUUGCCCAGGUGACUUCUCUGAGCCGCAGUUGUGUCGUCCGUAUAGUGGGGGUCAUGGACACCCACUUCCCAAAACCAAGGUGACGUGCAAAGGUUGUAAAAAGAAGGAAGACACGGCAAUUCUGCAGAAAGUUUCAGUCCAGGAGCACAGCAGGUGUCCACAGUGCUUCCAAUAAUAGUUGAACCCCUGAACAACACGGGUUUGAACUGCCCGGGUCCACUUCUACGUGGAUUUUUCUCAAUAGACAGGUGCAGUACAACAGGAUCUGCGGUUGGUUGAAUCCGUGGAUGUGGAACUGCGGAUACAGAGAGCCGACUGGGACUUGAGCACCCGCAGAUUUUGGUAGUAUCCACAGUGGGUUCUGGAACUGAUCCCCCGCGGAUUCCGAGGGACGACUCUACUUCAUAUUCACCAGGGGUUAACACCCACUCGUCGCCAGCGAAGCAGCAGAUCCUUCACUAUUUUUAUUUUUUGACUGUGCCAUUCUUUAUUAUUUUGGAUAUCUACACAAAAUUUUACUUUAUUUUUUAAAAAAUUAUCUUUUUAAACAUCUUUAUUGGAGUCUAAUCGCUUUACAAUGGUGUGUUAGUUUCUGCUGUAUAGCAAAGUGAAUCAGCUAUACAUAUACAUAUAUCCCCAUAUCCCCUCCCUCUUGCGUGUCCCUCCCACCCUCCCUAUCCCAUCCCUCUCGGUGGUCACAAAGCACACGGAGCUGAUCUCCCUGUGCUAUGCGGCUGCUUCCCACUAGCUAUCUAUUUUACACUUGGUAGUGUAUAUACGUCCAUGCCACUCUCCCACUUCGUCCCAGCUUACCCUUCCCCCUCCCCGUGUCCUCAAGUCCAUUCUCUACGUCUGCGUCUUUAUUCCUGUCCUGCCCCUAGGUUCUUCAGAAGCAUUUUUUUUUUUAGAUUCCAUAUAUAUGUGUUAGCAUAUGGUAUUUGUUUUUCUCUUUCUGACUUACUUCACUCUGUAUGACAGACUCUAGGUCCACCGACCUCACUACAAAUAACUGUUUCGUUUCUUUUUAUGGCUGAGUAAUGUUCCAUUGGAUAUAUGUGCCACAUCUUCUUUGUCCAUUCCUCUUUCGAUAGACACUUAAGAUGCUUCCAUGCCCUGGCUAUUGCAAAUAGUGCUGCAAUGAACAUUGCUUCACUACUUUUAGAACUCAGAAUCGAGGCGUUGGGAAAGCUACAAGUCCCUGGCCCGCAGAGGACUAGAGGGCAUUUGGCGCCACCUGCUGGCCAACGGGGUUUCGGCACGCUAUUGGCUUCUCAAUUUCUCAAUUUGC
This is a long non-coding RNA of Globicephala melas (long-finned pilot whale), 5737 nucleotides long. RefSeq lists it as uncharacterized. Lineage: Eukaryota; Metazoa; Chordata; Mammalia; Artiodactyla; Delphinidae. The record is from RefSeq and is a predicted model, not a curated record.